GCGAAUAUUCCGCAGCUUUAUACAUGCAAGUCGAGGGGCAGCAUGAGUGUAGCAAUACAUUUGAUGGCGACCGGCAAACGGGUGCGGAACACGUACACAACCUUCCUUUAAGUGGAGAAUAGCCCAGGGAAACUUGGAUUAAUACUCCGUAACAUAUAGAAGUGGCAUCACUUUUAUAUUAAAGCUCAGGCGCUUAGAGAUGGGUGUGCGGCUGAUUAGGUAGUUGGCGGGGUAACGGCCCACCAAGCCUUCGAUCAGUAACUGGUGUGAGAGCACGACCAGUCACACGGGCACUGAGACACGGGCCCGACUCCUACGGGAGGCAGCAGUAAGGAAUAUUGGUCAAUGGACGCAAGUCUGAACCAGCCAUGCCGCGUGGAGGAUGAAGGUCCUCUGGAUUGUAAACUUCUUUUAUCUGGGAAGAAAUCCAUUUUUUCUAAAAUGGUUGACGGUACCAGAUGAAUAAGCACCGGCUAACUCCGUGCCAGCAGCCGCGGUAAUACGGAGGGUGCAAGCGUUAUCCGGAUUCACUGGGUUUAAAGGGUGCGUAGGUGGGUCUGUAAGUCCGUGGUGAAAUCUCCGAGCUUAACUCGGAAACUGCCAUGGAUACUAUAGGUCUUGAAUACUGUGGAGGUCAGCGGAAUAUGUCAUGUAGCGGUGAAAUGCUUAGAUAUGACAUAGAACACCAAUUGCGAAGGCAGCUGGCUACACAAAUAUUGACACUGAGGCACGAAAGCGUGGGGAUCAAACAGGAUUAGAUACCCUGGUAGUCCACGCCCUAAACGAUGGAUACUCGACAUUUGCGAUACACUGCAAGUGUCUGAGCGAAAGCAUUAAGUAUCCCACCUGGGAAGUACGAUCGCAAGAUUGAAACUCAAAGGAAUUGACGG
This 890-nucleotide ribosomal RNA is filed under the name uncultured Bacteroidota bacterium. RNAcentral describes it as "bacterial SSU rRNA". It matches the Rfam family "Bacterial small subunit ribosomal RNA", at positions 29 to 916 of the family's 1533-position model. The record is from RNAcentral. Lineage: Bacteria; Pseudomonadati; Bacteroidota.